UACGGGGGGGGCAAGCGUUGUUCGGAAUUACGGGGCGUAAAGGGCUUGUAGGCGGCCCGGUAAGUCCGCUGUGAAAGUCCAGGGCUCAACCCUGGGAUGCCGGUGGAUACUGUCGGGCUCGAGUCCGGAAGAGGAGUGUGGAAUUCCUGGUGUAGCGGUGAAAUGCGCAGAUACCAGGAGGAACACCAAUGGCGAAGGCAGCACUCUGGGACGUGACUGACGCUGAGACGCGAAAGCGUGGGGAGCAAACAGG
RNAcentral lists this ribosomal RNA (253 nucleotides) under uncultured bacterium. RNAcentral's name for it is "partial 16S ribosomal RNA". It matches the Rfam family "Bacterial small subunit ribosomal RNA", at positions 524 to 776 of the family's 1533-position model. The record is from RNAcentral.